UUUUUUAUAGAUAUAUAAUUAUAAAUAACGCCUGCUCAAUGUAAAUAAAUAGCCGCAGAAUUUUUACUGUGCCAAGGUAGCAUAAUCAUUUGCCUUUUAAUUAAAGACUAGAAUGAAAGGAAUAACAUUUUAAUUACUAUUUUAAACAUAAAUUUUUAAUUUAUCUUAAAUAUAAAAAGAUAUUUAUAAAAAUAAUAGACGACAAGACCCUAUCGAACUUAACUAAAGUUAAGCUGGGGCAGCUAAUUAAUUUUUAUUUUAAUAAAAAAUAAUUUAAUAAACGACCUAAUAAAAUUAAUUUUAUGAAAAAGUUACCGUAGGGAUAACAGCGCAAUAAAUUUUUAAAGCUCUUAUUUAAAAAACAGUUUACGACCUCGAUGUUGAAUUAAUUUACUAUUAAAUGCAACCAUUUAUAAAAGUAGGGCUGUUCGACCUAUAAACAAUUACA
Molecule: ribosomal RNA, 448 nt
Filed under: Nephila cf. pilipes FAPMCZ05
Lineage: Eukaryota; Metazoa; Arthropoda; Arachnida; Araneae; Nephilidae
Description: partial 16S ribosomal RNA
Source: RNAcentral